UUCAGUAUAAGUAGUCAAACUGCUAACUUAUUUUGAUAUGGCCAUUUGAUUUGUCUACGUACUUGUUACUUAUACAUCAGAUAAUUAUUAUGUAUCUGGUAUUUUAUUUCAUUUGUGUGUUUUUGGUGGCUUUUUAUUACAGGUCUUGUAUGACACCUUGCCCUUCAUAAUGCAAUUUAUCUACUUGUGAUCCUAAAACAAUUUAACCUACUCCUGUUACCCACUUUACUGAAUACAUACAGAUACAUUUCGCUUAAUAUAGUAACAUCAACGUAUUUAUGAGUACUGAUGUAUGGGGUAUAUACUGC
Non-coding RNA from Pelobates cultripes (western spadefoot toad), 308 nucleotides. Lineage: Eukaryota; Metazoa; Chordata; Amphibia; Anura; Pelobatidae. The record is from the annotation of a GenBank genome assembly.